UGGGGAAUCUUGGACAAUGGGCGCAAGCCUGAUCCAGCCAUGCCGCGUGAGUGACGAAGGCCUUAGGGUUGUAAAGCUCUUUUGGCGGGGACGAUAAUGACGGUACCCGCAGAAUAAGCCCCGGCUAACUUCGUGCCAGCAGCCGCGGUAAUACGAAGGGGGCUAGCGUUGUUCGGAAUUACUGGGCGUAAAGCGCACGUAGGCGGAUUUGUCAGUCAGGGGUGAAAUCCCGAGGCUCAACCUCGGAACUGCCUCCGAUACAGCAAGUCUCGAGUCCGGAAGAGGUGAGUGGAAUUCCUAGUGUAGAGGUGAAAUUCGUAGAUAUUAGGAAGAACACCAGUGGCGAAGGCGGCUCACUGGUCCGGUACUGACGCUGAGGUGCGAAAGCGUGGGGAGCAAACAGGAUUAGAUACCCCUGUAUUCCCUGAGCGGGCUGGCAAGGCGCAU
RNAcentral lists this ribosomal RNA (447 nucleotides) under uncultured bacterium. RNAcentral's name for it is "bacterial SSU rRNA". It matches the Rfam family "Bacterial small subunit ribosomal RNA", at positions 355 to 825 of the family's 1533-position model. The record is from RNAcentral.